CUCUCUUCCCCCCUCUAGUCGUACGUUCCUUCACAUCCUCCCCCUCAUCCUAUCGUACAUUCUUUCAUCUCCAACCUACUCUCUCAAAAAAACCCCCGGUCGCGCCCCCCCUCCCCCCAUCUCCCUUUCUUUCUCCUCCCAUCCCAUAUCCGCUUUCUAUCCUCCCCAUUUUUUAUAGGUUUCAAAUUAUUAUUAAUAGUCUCUAAAUACUAAUUUUUAUAAUUUUGAU
Molecule: long non-coding RNA, 229 nt
Filed under: Ananas comosus (pineapple)
Lineage: Eukaryota; Viridiplantae; Streptophyta; Magnoliopsida; Poales; Bromeliaceae
Description: long non-coding RNA (ACOM_LNC009161)
Source: RNAcentral